RNAcentral lists this ribosomal RNA (253 nucleotides) under uncultured bacterium. Its description in RNAcentral is "partial 16S ribosomal RNA". It matches the Rfam family "Bacterial small subunit ribosomal RNA", at positions 524 to 776 of the family's 1533-position model. The record is from RNAcentral.
UACGUAGGGGGCAAGCGUUGUCCGGAAUCAUUGGGCGUAAAGAGCGUGUAGGCGGCCCGGUAAGUCUGUUGUGAAAGUCCAGGGCUCAACCCUGGAAUGCCGAUGGAUACUGCCGGGCUAGAGUUCGGAAGAGGCGAGUGGAAUUCCUGGUGUAGCGGUGAAAUGCGCAGAUAUCAGGAGGAACACCGGUGGCGAAGGCGGGUCUCUGGGCCGUAACUGACGCUGAGGAGCGAAAGCGUGGGGAGCGAACAGG